This 309-nucleotide unclassified non-coding RNA is filed under the name uncultured Nemania. RNAcentral describes it as "sequence contains ITS1". The stretch from base 1 to 105 matches the Rfam family "5.8S ribosomal RNA", at positions 50 to 154 of the family's 154-position model. The record is from RNAcentral. Lineage: Eukaryota; Fungi; Ascomycota; Sordariomycetes; Xylariales; Xylariaceae.
GAAAUGCGAUAAGUAAUGUGAAUUGCAGAAUUCAGUGAAUCAUCGAAUCUUUGAACGCACAUUGCGCCCAUUAGUAUUCUAGUGGGCAUGCCUGUUCGAGCGUCAUUUCAACCCUUAAGCCCUAGUUGCUUAGCGUUGGGACCUUACCGCAAGGUAACUCCCCAAAGUCAGUUGGCAGAGUCAGGGUGCACUCUAAGCGUAGUAGAUCUCUUCUUUCUCGCUUCUGUGGUCGCCCCGGCCUCUCGCCGUGAAACCCCCAACUUUUUAGUGGUUGACCUCGGAUCAGGUAGGAAUACCCGCUGAACUUAA